UAGAAAACCCUAGCCGUCAUCUAUCCUCUCUUCUCUCUUCCAUCUUCUAGCAAGAAAGACGUCCUUUUGCAAGGGAGCUAGCACCCCGGUGAGGACAUCGAUCAAAUCAAGAACCUCGUGUGGAUACCUAUAGAGGCCGGACGCGUGUGCGGCUUCAAGAGAACCCGAUUCCACGAUCAUCAAAUUGAGGCAAGGAUUUAUCCGCGAAAAAGGUAAUGAUUCGAUCUUACUUUUCUCCUUUAAUCUUAAAGAACAUGAGGGAUCCUAAUUGCGUGGUUUUUGAGAUUAGAUCUCGAGAGUUUUCAAAAAUCAAAUUUGUUUGAUUUCUUUUUCCGCUGCGUUUUUACCGUACGCAAUUUUCUAACAGUGGUAUCAGAGCCAUCCUCAUGUUUUUAAGAUUAAAAUUAUGAUUUUGGGUAUUCUAAACCGUUUUUCGCCGAUCGAACGAUUUAUAGAUCGUUGUUUGGAUGAUUCGUAAAAUCAAAUUGAUCGAACAAUUUAAUCCACGGUUUCUCGUUUUCAAAAACAAAAACAACAAAAAAUAAAAAAAAAUAAAAAAAAUAAAAAUACUGUAGCACCGUACGGAUGCACUGUAGCAGUCCGUACGGAUUUUACUGUAGCAGUCCGUACGGACGCUACUGUAGCAUCCGUACGGAAAUCAAAAAAAUUUUUUUUUUUCUAACCCAAAAGAAAAGGAUCUAAUUUGAUUAGAUCAAAUUUAAAUUUUGAUGAGAUCAAAUUGUUUUUGAAGAUUAAAUUUUUGAUCAAAAUUAUAAAGAUCAAUAAGAUUGAUUGUUAUUAGUGAUUAAGUCACUAUUAUUUUUCGAAUCAUCUUUUAACGGUUAAUUAGAAUAUCCAAAUUUAUUAUUAUAUGUGUGAUGUAUGAGAUACAUAUCGGUGAUGAUCAUGGAUAGCGACCUAUUUAUAUUUCGACAUGUGAUGUAUGAUGUGUAUGCAGAAUCCUGUAAUUUUAAAUUUGUUUAAAUUAAGGACUUUGUAUUAGAGAUGGCUAUAUUUGUGCCUGCGUGCACAAGCCGAUUUAUUUGGAGAUCUGCGUGUCUCAAUAGGUUAGAGAUAAAAGUUAUCAAAUGUAAUUAAUUUUUUUUUAUUUCACUUUUAUUAUUGGGUUGUAUAAUGUAUGGUUGCACGUCACUGGUUGAUCGGUUGCAAGCCUAAAAGUUCGCAAGGCCCGGAUAGAGAUGAAUACUUGAUGGCGGUCGGAUCAAGCUGUUGAUAAGGAUCAAAUCAAGUUGAAGCUCCAGAUCGGAUCAAGAAGUUGAAGACGAUCAAACCAAUGACGUGUGUGUGCUUGUAAUUUAUGACCCUAAGACCCCGAUUCCGACUCAGUGGCUCGAGUCCGAAUCCACUUCUAAGAUCCAUGAUCAUCACCAGUUUAAUUAUGUUUGUUUGCGCGGAUUGAUUUUUUAUUUUAUUUGCAUUAGAUGUAAAUAAAUAAAAUAUUUUUUGAGACCUAAAUAAAUCUCCUCAUAAAUAUUAAGUCGAGCGGUCUUCCGCCGUUGUAGAAGUGCGGGCGCUUUUCUGGUGUUGAUUGGCACGGCUGGUUACAGUGGUCAGUUGCAUCGGGAAUUCGCAACCACUCUAUUAGCAUGAGAUGCUGCGGAGUAAAGAUGGGGUUGGGCCCAAUAACUGUCAGGUGAGGGACCCAAUGACGGCUUUGCUUACGCGUUUGAACGGUGGGUCUGACUUAACUAAGGAAUGGGGCCAAUAACUGUCAGGUGAGGCCUACAGGACUUAGAGACCGAUCACUGCAAUUUGCUUGAGAAGCAUUGGACAAGAGUUGUCCACUCAUCGGUUUGCAUAUCACCAAUAACUGUUAGGUGAGGUGGUACGUUAAAUUGGUGGGACCGCAGUACCCACUUGAAACCUUUUGUCGCGUUGGGUUUCCGUUUCUCUACCCGAGGAGUGUAAGAGACUCGAGAAAAUAGUGGGAGGCUAAAUUUGUUUUUAAAAUCCCUAAAACAAUUUUUCAAAACAAAUACAAAUAUCUAACUUGAAUCUUUACUCUCUGCAAAGUAAAUGUCUGCUUCCAAUUAUCUCUCUCGUAUUCUCGACACAAAAUCCUUAACUGAAAUUAAUUAUAAAGACUGGCUAAGGAAUUUAAAAAUAGUUUUAAAUUCCAAUAAGCUCUGCAUUGUUCUCGACCAGGUAAACCUCACGUUGCCAAACCGUCCAAUAACUAACAGAAGGGCAGUCCGUUCAUGAUCAUUGUUUGACAAUGAUCAUAGACCUCGAGGAGCUUGAGAAGCUUGGCGUAAAAUGGAUAAGGAAUUGCAAGUUGAUCUGAUCCUGCAAUCCCUUCCUGUAUCAUAUGGACAGUUUAUUGUAAACUACCAUAUGAAUAAAAUUGACUGCACCAAUGCAGAGUUAUUGAACAUGUUGGUAAUAAUAGAGGGGACUUUUGAAAAGUUCAAAGGGAACGGUUCACGUUGUGGAGCGAGCUUCCUCUUCUAAAAGAAAGUCUAAUUGGAAGAAGAAACCCGCGAAGAAACAAAAGACGGAAAACAAGCCCAAGAAGGAAGCUCCUAAGAAAAGGGCCGCUAAUAAAGGAAAAUGUUUCCACUGCAAUGUUGACGGUCAUUGUGAGAGGAACUGUCCUUUCUACCUGGAGAGCCUAAAGAAUAAGAGGAAGGACACACCUUCGGAAGGUAUGUCAGACUUGCUCGUAAUAGAAACUAACGGUUUCCUCUACUUCCAGAAAGAGAAAGUAGAGGGCUUAGGGAAGGUGAAGUGACCCUACGGGUAGGCAACGGGGCAAGAGUUGCUACUGUGGCUGCUGGCACCUAUCCUUUGCGACUACCGUCAGGAUAUGUUUUAUUACUUAAAGACUGCAAUUAUGUACCUCCUGCUAGCAGAAAUUUGAUUUCUGCACAGGAUGGUUUAAUUUUGACAAAAACUACUGCAUAAUUUAUUUUAGAAAUAAAAUUAUUGGCCGUGGUUUUAUAAUUGACAGUCUUUAUCAUUUACAUAUGGAUGUAUCUACAAAUAUUUCUGAGCAAGUAGUGACUGCUGUUGGGUCUAAGAGACCUAGAGAUGAGAUGAACCUAAAGUAUAUGUGGCACCUCAGGCUUGGUCAUAUUGAAGAAGAAAGGAUCAAUAAAUUGGAUAAAGAUGGGCUUCUCGGCCCAUUGACUUCAGAGUCUUAUCCAGUUUGUGAAUCUUGUCUUCAAGGAAAAUUGACUAAAUUACCCUUUGUAGGACAAGGGGAAAGGGCCACUGAGAUACUUUCCUUGAUACACACUGAUGUGUGUGGGCCAUUUGAUGUGCAUGCUAGGGGAGGUUAUCUCUACUUCAUAACAUUUACCGAUGAUUAUUCACGGUAUGGGUAUGUGUAUCUUGUAAAACACAAGUCUGAGAAUUUUGAAAAGUUCAAAGAAUUCAGAUAUGAAGUAGAAAAACAAACUGAAAAAUCCAUCAAGGUUCUUCGAUCAGAUCGAGGAGGAGAAUACCUUAGUGGAGAGUUCCUAAAUUAUCUCAAAGAAAACGGCAUAGUCUCACAGUGGACUCCUCCGGGAACACCUCAACUCAACGGGGUGUCAGAACGGAGAAACCGAACCUUAUUGGAUAUGGUUCGAUCUAUGAUGAGCUUCACUGAUCUUCCUUUAUUUCUUUGGGGACAUGCUUUGCUUACCGCAGCUUAUUUGUUAAAUAGGGUUCCCUCUAAAUCCGUUCCUACCACGCCGUAUGAGAUGUGGCAUGGUAAGAAACCAAGUCUUGGUCAUAUCAAGAUUUGGGGAUGUCCGGCCUAUGUUAAGCGACUACAGGUGGACAAGUUAGAGGCUAGGUCUGAGAGGGCUCGUUUUAUUGGAUAUCCUAAAGAAACUUUAGGUUACUAUUUUUAUAUCCCAGAGAAUCACAAUAUAGUUGUGAGCAAACAUGCUAUUUUCUUGGAAAAACAGUUUAUUCAAGAAGCUAGUGGGAGAAAAAUUGAGCUCGAAGAGAGAGUCUCUGAAGAGCAACGAGUCAUCAAACCUACAGAACCUAUUCAAGCUGAGCCAGUACAUGUAGUACCUCCUCCACCUCGUAGGUCGAGUAGAAUCUCCCAUCCCACUAAAAGAUACUUAGGUAUCGUUACAGAGGAAGUAGAGGAAAUGUUCCUCAUGGGAGAUAGGGAACAUGGAGAUGAUCCCAAAACCUACAACGAGGCGAUGUCUGACAUCGAUUCCGAGAAAUGGCUGGAUGCCAUGAAGUCAGAAAUUGACUCAAUGCAUUCCAACCAGGUUUGGAUUUUGGUAGACCCACCAGAAGGUAUAGUACCUAUCGGGUGUAAAUGGAUCUACAAAAGAAAGAUAGGUUCGGAUGGAAAGGUAGAGACCUAUAAAGCAAGGCUGGUUGCAAAAGGUUAUAGUCAACGCGAAGGCAUUGACUAUCAGGAGACCUUUUCACCUGUGGCCAUGCUUAAAUCCAUUCGAACACUGCUUGCCCUUGCAGCAUACUAUGAUUAUGAGAUCUGGCAAAUGGAUGUGAAAACUGCCUUCCUAAAUGGAUAUCUUGAGGAAGAUAUCUAUAUGGAACAACCUUUGGGUUUCACUUCCGAUGACGAAAAUCACAAAGUAUGCAAGUUGCAACGGUCCAUUUACGGACUUAAGCAAGCAUCUCGGACUUGGAAUACUCGUUUCGAUAACGUGAUUAAAUCGUUUGAUUUCGUUAAGAAUGAGGAGGAACCAUGUGUUUAUAAGAAGGUCAGUGGGAGAGCUGUCACAUUCCUCGUAUUGUACGUGGAUGACAUUCUCCUAAUUGGGAAUGACAUUCCAAUGCUGACUUCAGUUAAAAUAUGGUUGUCUAAAGAAUUCUCCAUGAAAGAUUUAGGGGAAGCAUCCUAUUUUUUGGGGAUAAAGGUCUAUAGAGAUAAAUCUAAAAGGAUGUUAGGCUUCUCACAGAAAAUGUAUAUAGAAGAGGUGCUGAAGAGGUUCGGCAUGAAAACUCCUCUUAGACAUGGAAUUUAUCUCUUUAAGAAAAUGUACCCCAAUACAUUUGAAAAGAUUCAAUGUAUGAGUAAGAUCCCUUAUGCCUCAGCUAUAGGGAGUCUUAUAUACGCCAUGCUGUGUACACGAUCUGAUAUCGGGAUUGUUGUGAGUGUCACAAGAAGAUAUCAAUCUAAUCCAGGCGAUGAGCACUGGAUUGCUGUGAAGAACAUACUCAAGUACUUGAGAAGCACUAAGGAUAUGUUCUUGAUCUUUGGAGAAAAAGAGUUGAAAAUAUAAGGAUAUACUGAUUCAGACUUUAUGUCUGAUGUUGACGAUAGAAAGUCUACGUCAGGAUGUGUGUUCUUAUGCGAUAGUGGCUUGGUGUAUUGGAAGAGUUCCAAACAACCACCCUACCAUGGAAACAGAGUAUAUCGCCGCAUUUAAUGUAGGCCUUCUGAAGUUUGUCGCAGAAUUAAGUGUGAUGCCAUCGAAUGUCAUACCACUCUAUUGCGACAACAAUGGCGCCAUAGCCUUAGCUAAGGAGCCCAGGUCACAUCAGAAGUCCAAGCAUAUAAAGCGGCGGUUUCAUAUUAUACGCAACUACCUCGACAGAAAUACAUCGAGAUGUAGAGAGUAGACUCCACAGAUAACGUGGCAGGCCCAUUGACUAAACCACCUAGCCAGCAGAAGACUGAAGUCCACCUUGAGAAGAUGGGGCUUAGGUAUAUGGCUGAUUGGCUUUAGUGCAAGUGGGAGAUUGUUAGAUGUAUGCCCUAGAAGCCAACCAGGCCGACACAUAUAUUCUUUCUAGGACAUAAAUUUGUAUUUGACUUUUAAAUAUUAUGAAUAAAUUUGGGUUAUUAUUUCCAUUCAUGAUGUGUAUGUGUCCAUGAAUCGUCCAAGGAAUUAAUAAGAUGAUAUAUAUUCUCAAGAGUUGAGAAUUUGAGACAUGUGUCAUUGGUGGUUAAUUCCUAAAUGCUCCCGAUCAAUGGAUCAUCACGGGGACGGUGAUUGAUCCGGUGAGAUUGGUGCAUAGGUCGCUUCCCUUUUGGGUAGACGAGUCUCGAGUCGACAGUGUGGGGACACUGAAGCGAAUAUGCAGGUGGUUGUUAGAGAACAAGGGUACCGAGCGUGACCAACGCGAGAAGUCACUUGGAUGUCUACUCACUCGUCAGUGACUUACUCAAUUGUUGCAGUAGUGUGACUGGUCCUUUGACCUGCGGUGCCUCGGCUAUUCACAAUGAGGUUACUGUAGUUUGACUGUACAUACACUUGGUCCCUAGCCAUUCGGGUCCUUGCGGUGCAUGUUGGCUGCAGUAGGUUCAUUGUAGGAAUAGGGUGCGCACUUAGAUGGAAUCUAUCUCCCUUGGUAGAUAGGGGUGUUAGUCCUAUGUGAUUUAUGAGACCGAGUUUAGAAGACCUUGGCCAGGGCAGAAUAAAUAGCGGAAAAGGGUUUCCGAUAUUAGAAACUCGAGUCGAAUAAAUUUAACAUAUGACAGACGAUGGGGUUUGACGAGUUAUUCCAUAACCUCCGUCUAGUCGGGACUCAUGAUAGAAGGAUUGUAUCACACGGUAACUGCACCAAGAGGUUCAGUAUUCCAUUCUACUGGAAUGCCACUACAUGCUGCUAGGCGUCACUGGUGGAUUGUGAGACUCAUGAGAAUUAUCUAGAUGAUCGAUAAUUCUCAUUGGGCUGAGUUGGAAUUGUUCUAAUCCAUUGAAAGGAGUUUCAGUGAUAUUGUUGAUAGUGAUCAAAAUAUAUCUCACUACCAGAUAGAAUAGAACCUAUGGGGUCACACACAUAAGAGGUUGUGAUUGAUCGGAUAGCUAGAUCGCGAUUAUUGAAUCGCCGGAGGACCUAAUUGUCAAUAUGUUGAUAAUUGGACUAAUUUGUAAUUGUUACAAAUUAGUGGUAUUAAAGUGUAAAUGUUACUAGAGAGGACUUACUAAUAGUUAGUAAAUUAUAAGAGGACUUAUGUGCAAAUGUUGCAUUAUUAAUUUGAUAAGAUCAAAUUAAUAUAAAAUUCAAGUCGAAUCAAAUUAGGAUUUGAUCGAUCUAACCAAUUAAGGAAAAGAUAAAUUUAAAUCUAGAUUUAUACUUAUCCUUAAUUGUCAUUAUAUUAUUAGGAAUAGGAUUAUAUUCCUAUAUAUAAUAUACGGGAGUUUUUAGAAAACCCUAGCCGUCAUCUAUCCUCUCUUCUCUCUUCCAUCUUCUAGCAAGAAAGACGUCCUUUUGCAAGGGAGCUAGCACCCCGGUGAGGACAUCGAUCAAAUCAAGAACCUCGUGUGGAUACCUAUAGAGGCCGGACGCGUGUGCGGCUUCAAGAGAACCCGAUUCUACGAUCAUCAAAUUGAGGUGAAGAUCUAUCCACGAAAAAGGUAAAGAUUCGAUCUUGUUUUCUCCUUUAAUCUUAAAGAACAUGAGGGAUCCUAAUUGCGUGGUUUUUGAGAUUUGAUCUCGAGAGUUUUCAAAAAUCAAAUUUGUUUGAUUUCUUUUUCCGCUGCGUUUUUACCGUACGCAAUUUUCUAACAACAACAUCGCGGCGUUUCGACGCGCAGUAGAGGAGAGGAGCCUGUGUCUCGACGUCGCCGUGCCCUAGUGAAGAAGGAGGGUCGCGACGCGGCCUCAGC
Molecule: long non-coding RNA, 7556 nt
Filed under: Ananas comosus (pineapple)
Lineage: Eukaryota; Viridiplantae; Streptophyta; Magnoliopsida; Poales; Bromeliaceae
Description: long non-coding RNA (ACOM_LNC030860)
Source: RNAcentral